UGCAAGUCGAACGAGAAGCAGGACUUCGGUUCUGUGGAGAGUGGCGCACGGGUGAGUAACGCGUGGGGAUCUACCCAGCAGUAAGGGAUAACAUCGGGAAACUGGUGCUAAUACCUUAUACGGCCUUAGGGCGAAAGAUUUAUCGCUGUUGGAUGAACCCGCGUAGGAUUAGCUAGUUGGUGAGGUAAAAGCUCACCAAGGCUCCGAUCCUUAGCUGGUCUGAGAGGAUGAUCAGCCACACUGGGACUGAGACACGGCCCAGACUCC
This 267-nucleotide ribosomal RNA is filed under the name unidentified marine bacterioplankton. Its description in RNAcentral is "partial 16S ribosomal RNA". It matches the Rfam family "Bacterial small subunit ribosomal RNA", at positions 56 to 339 of the family's 1533-position model. RNAcentral also lists the same sequence under 1 other name. The record is from RNAcentral.